UGACCUCGAUCAGGUAGGAAUACCCGCUGAACUUAAGCAUAUCAAUAAGCGGAGGA
RNAcentral lists this ribosomal RNA (56 nucleotides) under Colletotrichum dematium. RNAcentral describes it as "partial 28S ribosomal RNA". The record is from RNAcentral. Lineage: Eukaryota; Fungi; Ascomycota; Sordariomycetes; Glomerellales; Glomerellaceae.